GUCUUUGAUUCCCCGCUGCCAAGAAAAGCUUCUAGCGAGAUAAAAGGUGCCUGUACCGCAAACCGACACAGGUAGGCGAGGAGAGAAUCCUAAGGUGUGCGAGAGAACUCUGGUUAAGGAACUCGGCAAAAUGACCCCGUAACUUCGGGAGAAGGGGUGCUUUCUUAACGGAAAGCCGCAGUGAAUAGGCCCAAGCGACUGUUUAGCAAAAACACAGCUCUCUGCGAAGCCGUAAGGCGAAGUAUAGGGGGUGACACCUGCCCGGUGCUGGAAGGUUAAGGAGAGGGGUUAGCGUAAGCGAAGCUCUGAACUGAAGCCCCAGUAAACGGCGGCCGUAACUAUAACGGUCCUAAGGUAGCGAAAUUCCUUGUCGGGUAAGUUCCGACCCG
RNAcentral lists this ribosomal RNA (389 nucleotides) under Staphylococcus aureus. RNAcentral's name for it is "partial 23S ribosomal RNA". It matches the Rfam family "Bacterial large subunit ribosomal RNA", at positions 1590 to 1990 of the family's 2925-position model. Lineage: Bacteria; Bacillati; Bacillota; Bacilli; Caryophanales; Staphylococcaceae. The record is from RNAcentral.